Molecule: long non-coding RNA, 595 nt
Filed under: Hordeum vulgare
Lineage: Eukaryota; Viridiplantae; Streptophyta; Magnoliopsida; Poales; Poaceae
Description: long non-coding RNA (HVUL_LNC005768)
Source: RNAcentral
ACGAGAUGGUACAAAUAUAUCCGCAAAAAGUCUGAAAUUUUCAUAGGCAUAAUAUGACGGUGGUGCAAUACUCUAACAGAGCGUAUAACAGGCUGUAACACACUGUUCCCAUAUCUGUCAAGGACUGCCCUGCACGACGCGCUUCCUCAACAGCCUCCGCCCCCGCAACCGCCACCUCCUCCGCAGCCUCCUCCACCGCCGCCCCAGUGGCGCCGACGUCGUUUAGGCUUCACACCCGGGCCAUCGGCGCAGCUGAACACGGCGAUAGCGACGACGGCGACGACGGCCACGAAGACGAAAGCUAGACCCACAACAUUGCCAGGCGCAGAGAGGCCUUCGGCCGCAGCAAGAUCCAGCAUCCUAACCAUCGUUGCGGAUUGAGCUAGCUCCUUGAGCUUUGUGUGUAGGAAAAGUUGGCCCCUCGACCGGUACUUAAAGCCCCGACGGGACUGGGAGAUGUACAAGAAGCUGCAAAUGUCAACUGGAUACCAGCUCUUGAAAUUUUCAGAUCAUUACUCUGUCGAUCACCUAUUGAGGAGUGAACAUUUGGCAUUGUACUUGGUUAUUGAAGUGAACAACUAUUUUGACCUGAAAU